AUCAAUAAGCGGAGGAAAAGAAACCAACAGGGAUUGCCUUAGUAACGGCGAGUGAAGCGGCAACAGCUCAAAUUUGAAAUCUGGCCCUUGGGUCCGAAUUGUAAUUUGUAGAGGAUGAUUUUGGUGCGGUAUCUUCCGAGUUCCUUGGAACAGGACGCCUUAGAGGGUGAGAGCCCCGUACGGUUGAAUGCCUAGCCUCUGUAAAUCUCCUUCGACGAGUCGAGUAGUUUGGGAAUGCUGCUCUAAAUGGGAGGUAAAUUUCUUCUAAAGCUAAAUAUUGGCCAGAGACCGAUAGCGCACAAGUAGAGUGAUCGAAAGAUGAAAAGCACUUUGAAAAGAGGGUUAAAUAGCACGUGAAAUUGUUGAAAGGGAAGGAUUUGUGACCAGACUUUUUCUGGGCGGAUCAUCCGGGGUUCUCUCCGGUGCACUUCGCCCAGUAAAGGCCAGCAUCGGUUUUCGGCGUGGGAUAAAAGCAGUAGGAAUGUGGCUCUCUACGGGGAGUGUUAUAGCCUAUUGUAUAAUACCGCGCUGGGGACCGAGGUUCGCGCUUCUGCAAGGAUGCUGGCGUAAUGGUUAUCAAUCACCCGUCUUGAAACACGGACCAAGGAGUCGAACAUUUGUGCGAGUGUUUGGGUGUUAAACCCUCACGCGUAAUGAAAGUGAACGGAGGUGAGAGCCCUUACGGGUGCAUCAUCGACCGAUCCUGAAGUUUUCGGAUGGAUUUGAGUAAGAGCAUAACUGUUCGGACCCGAAAGAUGGUGAACUAUGCGUGGAUAGGGUGAAGCCAGAGGAAACUCUGGUGGAGGCUCGCAGCGGUUCUGACGUGCAAAUCGAUCGUCAAAUCUGCGCAUGGGGGCGAAAGACUAAUCGAACCAUCUAGUAGCUGGUUACC
This 892-nucleotide ribosomal RNA is filed under the name Neopestalotiopsis surinamensis. RNAcentral's name for it is "LSU rRNA". It matches the Rfam family "Eukaryotic large subunit ribosomal RNA", at positions 42 to 959 of the family's 3401-position model. The record is from RNAcentral. Lineage: Eukaryota; Fungi; Ascomycota; Sordariomycetes; Amphisphaeriales; Sporocadaceae.